CUACGGGGGGCAGCAGUGGGGAAUAUUGGACAAUGGGCGAAAGCCUGAUCCAGCCAUGCCGCGUGUGUGAAGAAGGCCUUCGGGUUGUAAAGCACUUUCAGUGGGGAAGAAAGCCUUGGGGCUAAUACCCUCGAGGAAGGACAUCACCCACAGAAGAAGCACCGGCUAACUCCGUGCCAGCAGCCGCGGUAAUACGGAGGGUGCGAGCGUUAAUCGGAAUUACUGGGCGUAAAGCGCGCGUAGGCGGUCUGAUAAGCCGGUUGUGAAAGCCCCGGGCUCAACCUGGGAACGGCAUCCGGAACUGUCAGGCUAGAGUGCAGGAGAGGAAGGUAGAAUUCCCGGUGUAGCGGUGAAAUGCGUAGAGAUCGGGAGGAAUACCAGUGGCGAAGGCGGUCUUCUGGACUGACACUGACGCUGAGGUGCGAAAGCGUGGGUAGCAAACAGGAUUAGAUACCCCAGUAGUC
Molecule: ribosomal RNA, 464 nt
Filed under: Vreelandella stevensii
Lineage: Bacteria; Pseudomonadati; Pseudomonadota; Gammaproteobacteria; Oceanospirillales; Halomonadaceae
Description: partial 16S ribosomal RNA
Rfam family: Bacterial small subunit ribosomal RNA
Source: RNAcentral